This 253-nucleotide ribosomal RNA is filed under the name uncultured bacterium. RNAcentral describes it as "partial 16S ribosomal RNA". It matches the Rfam family "Bacterial small subunit ribosomal RNA", at positions 524 to 776 of the family's 1533-position model. The record is from RNAcentral.
UACAGAGGUCCCAAGCGUUGUUCGGAUUCAUUGGGCGUAAAGGGUGCGUAGGCGGCGCGGUAAGUCGGGUGUGAAAUCUCGGGGCUUAACUCCGAAACUGCAUUCGAUACUGCCGUGCUUGAGGACUGGAGAGGAGACUGGAAUUUACGGUGUAGCGGUGAAAUGCGCAGAUAUCAGGAGGAACACCGGUGGCGAAGGCGGGUCUCUGGGCCGUAACUGACGCUGAGGAGCGAAAGCAUGGGGAGCGAACAGG